GAUGAACGCUGGCGGCGUGCCUAAUACAUGCAAGUCGAGCGAACAGAUGAGGAGCUUGCUCCUCUGACGUUAGCGGCGGACGGGUGAGUAACACGUGGAUAACCUACCUAUAAGACUGGGAUAACUUCGGGAAACCGGAGCUAAUACCGGAUAACAUAUUGAACCGCAUGGUUCUAUAGUGAAAGACGGUUUUGCUGUCACUUAUAGAUGGAUCCGCGCCGCAUUAGCUAGUUGGUAAGGUAACGGCUUACCAAGGCAACGAUACGUAGCCGACCUGAGAGGGUGAUCGGCCACACUGGAACUGAGACACGGUCCAGACUCCUACGGGAGGCAGCAGUAGGGAAUCUUCCGCAAUGGGCGAAAGCCUGACGGAGCAACGCCGCGUGAGUGAUGAAGGUCUUCGGAUCGUAAAACUCUGUUAUUAGGGAAGAACAAAUGUGUAAGUAACUGUGCACGUCUUGACGGUACCUAAUCAGAAAGCCACGGCUAACUACGUG
RNAcentral lists this ribosomal RNA (497 nucleotides) under uncultured bacterium. Its description in RNAcentral is "partial 16S ribosomal RNA". It matches the Rfam family "Bacterial small subunit ribosomal RNA", at positions 28 to 507 of the family's 1533-position model. The record is from RNAcentral.